UACAGAGGUCUCGAGCGUUAGGCGGAAUCACUGGGCUUAAAGCGUGUGUAGGCGGACUGGUAAGUACCUUGUGAAAUCCCACGGCUCAACCGUGGAACUGCUGGGUAUACUGCUUGUCUUGUGCAACCUAGGGGCGAGCGGAGCAGAUGGUGGAGCGGUGAAAUGCGUAGAUAUCAUCUGGAACGCCAAUGGUGAAAACAGCUCGCUGGGGGUUUGCAGACGCUGAGACACGAAAGCCAGGGGAGCGAACGGG
RNAcentral lists this ribosomal RNA (253 nucleotides) under uncultured bacterium. RNAcentral's name for it is "partial 16S ribosomal RNA". It matches the Rfam family "Bacterial small subunit ribosomal RNA", at positions 524 to 776 of the family's 1533-position model. The record is from RNAcentral.